This 600-nucleotide ribosomal RNA is filed under the name Pseudomonas sihuiensis. RNAcentral describes it as "bacterial SSU rRNA". It matches the Rfam family "Bacterial small subunit ribosomal RNA", at positions 84 to 680 of the family's 1533-position model. Lineage: Bacteria; Pseudomonadati; Pseudomonadota; Gammaproteobacteria; Pseudomonadales; Pseudomonadaceae. The record is from RNAcentral.
UCCUGGAUUCAGCGGCGGACGGGUGAGUAAUGCCUAGGAAUCUGCCUGGUAGUGGGGGAUAACGUUCCGAAAGGAACGCUAAUACCGCGUACGUCCUACGGGAGAAAGCAGGGGACCUUCGGGCCUUGCGCUAUCAGAUGAGCCUAGGUCGGAUUAGCUAGUUGGUGAGGUAAUGGCUCACCAAGGCGACGAUCCGUAACUGGUCUGAGAGGAUGAUCAGUCACACUGGAACUGAGACACGGUCCAGACUCCUACGGGAGGCAGCAGUGGGGAAUAUUGGACAAUGGGCGAAAGCCUGAUCCAGCCAUGCCGCGUGUGUGAAGAAGGUCUUCGGAUUGUAAAGCACUUUAAGUUGGGAGGAAGGGCUGUAGGCUAAUAUCCUGCGGUUUUGACGUUACCAACAGAAUAAGCACCGGCUAACUUCGUGCCAGCAGCCGCGGUAAUACGAAGGGUGCAAGCGUUAAUCGGAAUUACUGGGCGUAAAGCGCGCGUAGGUGGUUCGUUAAGUUGGAUGUGAAAGCCCCGGGCUCAACCUGGGAACUGCAUCCAAAACUGGCGAGCUAGAGUACGGUAGAGGGUAGUGGAAUUUCCUGUGUAGCG